This 469-nucleotide ribosomal RNA is filed under the name uncultured bacterium. RNAcentral describes it as "partial 16S ribosomal RNA". It matches the Rfam family "Bacterial small subunit ribosomal RNA", at positions 28 to 508 of the family's 1533-position model. The record is from RNAcentral.
GACGAACGCUGGCGGCGUGCUUAACACAUGCAAGUCGAACGGAAAGGCCCUGCUUUUGUGGGGUGCUCGAGUGGCGAACGGGUGAGUAACACGUGAGUAACCUGCCCUUGACUUUGGGAUAACUUCAGGAAACUGGGGCUAAUACCGGAUAGGAGCUCCUGCUGCAUGGUGGGGGUUGGAAAGUUUCGGCGGUUGGGGAUGGACUCGCGGCUUAUCAGCUUGUUGGUGGGGUAGUGGCUUACCAAGGCUUUGACGGGUAGCCGGCCUGAGAGGGUGACCGGCCACAUUGGGACUGAGAUACGGCCCAGACUCCUACGGGAGGCAGCAGUGGGGAAGAUUGCACAAUGGGCGGAAGCCUGAUGCAGCAACGCCGCGUGCGGGAUGACGGCCUUCGGGUUGUAAACCGCUUUCGCCUGUGACGAAGCGUGAGUGACGGUAAGGGGUAAAGAAGCACCGGCUAACUACGUGC